UACGUAGGGGGCUAGCGUUGUCCGGAAUCAUUGGGCGUAAAGCGCGCGUAGGCGGCCCGGUAAGUCCGCUGUGAAAGUCAAAGGCUCAACCUUUGAAUGUCAGCGGAUACUGCCGGGCUAGAGUCCGGAAGAGGCGAGUGGAAUUCCCGGUGUAGCGGUGAAAUGCGCAGAUAUCGUAAGGAAGACCAGUGGCGAAGGCGGAUCUCUGGACAGUUACUGACACUGAGGCACGAAGGCCAGGGGAGCAAACGGG
RNAcentral lists this ribosomal RNA (253 nucleotides) under uncultured bacterium. RNAcentral describes it as "partial 16S ribosomal RNA". It matches the Rfam family "Bacterial small subunit ribosomal RNA", at positions 524 to 776 of the family's 1533-position model. The record is from RNAcentral.